UCCGGACGGGCGCCUAAUCCCGCCGCCGUCCGGAUGUCCGGUCGACGCUUUUGGAUCGGCGGGAGCGGAGGACCCGAGCAGGACGGGGUCCACGGCCUUCACGGGCCGGCGGACUCCUUGGGGUGAAGCCGUACGCACGGCCGGGCAUCUUCGCCUGCCCGAACCCGACAGGUCUUCCUUCGCAGGCGGCUGACGAAGGGUUU
This 203-nucleotide small RNA is filed under the name Streptomyces auratus. RNAcentral describes it as "c-di-AMP sequence". It matches the Rfam family "c-di-AMP riboswitch aptamer (ydaO/yuaA leader)". Rfam says of the family: This family represents a conserved RNA structure found upstream of the ydaO and yuaA genes in Bacillus subtilis and related genes in other bacteria. The ydaO/yuaA element is thought to act as a genetic "off" switch for the ydaO and yuaA genes in its native state. The record is from RNAcentral. Lineage: Bacteria; Bacillati; Actinomycetota; Actinomycetes; Kitasatosporales; Streptomycetaceae.